RNAcentral lists this long non-coding RNA (255 nucleotides) under Pan troglodytes (chimpanzee). RNAcentral describes it as "lincRNA". The record is from RNAcentral. Lineage: Eukaryota; Metazoa; Chordata; Mammalia; Primates; Hominidae.
UUUCAGAGACAGGGUCUUGCUACGUUGCCCAGGCUGGACUCAAAUUCCUGGGCUCAGGUGAUUCUUCUGCCUCAGCCUCCUGAGUAGCUGAGACUACAGGUGUGUGCCACUGUGCCUAAAAAGAUUUUAAAAAAAUACGUAUGCCCGGACACCACUCUAAACCAACUAAAUCAGAAUCAGAUAUCGUGAAGUCACUAAUCAUUUUGCUCCUGGGUCUUUAUGACAGUUUUGCUCCUGGGAAACUCCUGGGAAUGU